GCCCCGGUAGCUCAGCUGGAUAGAGCGACUCCCUCCUAAGGAGUAGGCCGCAGGUUCGACUCCUGCUCGGGGCA
This 74-nucleotide transfer RNA is filed under the name Conexibacter woesei DSM 14684. Its description in RNAcentral is "tRNA-Arg (CCT) (tRNA-Arg-CCT-1-1)". It matches the Rfam family "tRNA". Rfam says of the family: Transfer RNA (tRNA) molecules are approximately 80 nucleotides in length. Their secondary structure includes four short double-helical elements and three loops (D, anti-codon, and T loops). Lineage: Bacteria; Bacillati; Actinomycetota; Thermoleophilia; Solirubrobacterales; Conexibacteraceae. The record is from Rfam by way of RNAcentral.